GACGAACGCUGGCGGCGUGCUUAACACAUGCAAGUCGAACGGAAAGGCCCUGCUUUUGUGGGGUGCUCGAGUGGCGAACGGGUGAGUAACACGUGAGUCACCUGCCCUUGACUUUGGGAUAACUUCAGGAAACUGGGGCUAAUACCGGAUAGGCGCUCCUGCUGCAUGGUGGGGGUUGGAAAGUUUCGGCGGUUGGGGAUGGACUCGCGGCUUAUCAGCUUGUUGGUGGGGUAGUGGCUUACCAAGGCUUUGACGGGUAGCCGGCCUGAGAGGGUGACCGGCCACAUUGGGACUGAGAUACGGCCCAGACUCCUACGGGAGGCAGCAGUGGGGAAUAUUGCACAAUGGGCGGAAGCCUGAUGCAGCAACGCCGCGUGCGGGAUGACGGCCUUCGGGUUGUAAACCGCUUUCGCCUGUGACGAAGCGUGAGUGACGGUAAUCGGUAAAGAAGCACCGGCUAACUACGUG
RNAcentral lists this ribosomal RNA (468 nucleotides) under uncultured bacterium. RNAcentral's name for it is "partial 16S ribosomal RNA". It matches the Rfam family "Bacterial small subunit ribosomal RNA", at positions 28 to 507 of the family's 1533-position model. The record is from RNAcentral.